CUCUGUGGAUCAGUGGCGAACGGGUGAGUAACACGUGAGCAACCUGCCCCUGACUCUGGGAUAAGCGCUGGAAACGGCGUCUAAUACCGGAUAUGAGCUGCGAUCGCAUGGUCAGCAGUUGGAAAGAUUUUUCGGUCUGGGAUGGGCUCACGGCCUAUCAGCUUGUUGGUGAGGUAAUGGCUCACCAAGGCGUCGACGGGUAGCCGGCCUGAGAGGGUGACCGGCCACACUGGGACUGAGACACGGCCCAGACUCCUACGGGAGGCAGCAGUGGGGAAUAUUGCACAAUGGGCGAAAGCCUGAUGCAGCAACGCCGCGUGAGGGAUGACGGCCUUCGGGUUGUAAACCUCUUUUAGCAGGGAAGAAGCGAAAGUGACGGUACCUGCAGAAAAAGCGCCGGCUAACUACGUGCCAGCAGCCGCGGUAAUACGUAGGGCGCAAGCGUUAUCCGGAAUUAUUGGGCGUAAAGAGCUCGUAGGCGGUUUGUCGCGUCUGCUGUGAAAUCCCGAGGCUCAACCUCGGGUCUGCAGUGGGUACGGGCAGACUAGAGUGCGGUAGGGGAGAUUGGAAUUCCUGGUGUAGCGGUGGAAUGCGCAGAUAUCAGGAGGAACACCGAUGGCGAAGGCAGAUCUCUGGGCCGUUACUGACGCUGAGGAGCGAAAGGGUGGGGAGCAAACAGGCUUAGAUACCCUGGUAGUCCACCCCGUAAACGUUGGGAACUAGUUGUGGGGUCCAUUCCACGGAUUCCGUGACGCAGCUAACGCAUUAAGUUCCCCGCCUGGGGAGUACGGCCGCAAGGCUAAAACUCAAAGGAAUUGACGGGGACCCGCACAAGCGGCGGAGCAUGCGGAUUAAUUCGAUGCAACGCGAAGAACCUUACCAAGGCUUGACAUAUACGAGAACGGGCCAGAAAUGGUCAACUCUUUGGACACUCGUAAACAGGUGGUGCAUGGUUGUCGUCAGCUCCUGUCCUGAGAUGUUGGGUUAAGUCCCGCAACGAGCGCAACCCUCGUUCUAUGUUGCCACCACGUAAUGGUGGGAACUCAUGGG
RNAcentral lists this ribosomal RNA (1050 nucleotides) under Microbacterium oleivorans. Its description in RNAcentral is "bacterial SSU rRNA". It matches the Rfam family "Bacterial small subunit ribosomal RNA", at positions 83 to 1145 of the family's 1533-position model. Lineage: Bacteria; Bacillati; Actinomycetota; Actinomycetes; Micrococcales; Microbacteriaceae. The record is from RNAcentral.